RNAcentral lists this unclassified non-coding RNA (229 nucleotides) under plant metagenome. RNAcentral describes it as "partial contains small subunit ribosomal RNA, internal transcribed spacer 1, and 5.8S ribosomal RNA". The record is from RNAcentral.
UUUCCGUAGGUGAACCUGCGGAGGGAUCAUUACAGAGUUCAUGCCCUACCGGGUAGAUCUCCCACCCUAUGUUAUUAUUACUUUGUUGCUUUGGCGGGCCGUUAGGCUCCGGCCCGACUACCGGCCCCGGCUGGUAAGCGCCCGCCAGAGGACCCAAAACCCGGAAUAUUAGUGUCGUCUGAGUACUAUAUAAUAGUUAAAACUUUCAACAACGGAUCUCUUGGUUCUG